Molecule: long non-coding RNA, 1284 nt
Organism: Solanum pennellii
Lineage: Eukaryota; Viridiplantae; Streptophyta; Magnoliopsida; Solanales; Solanaceae
Exons: 2
Source: RefSeq, a predicted model, not a curated record
GGCUACGCACUAGAAUCCCAAGAAAAGUGCCUCGUCAUCUCCAUGCGAGAAACGACAAUAGUCUGGCGAGUACAACCCAAUAUUCGGCCUUCCUUGUCGUAUUAUUCGUAUCACUUCCGUUUCGUAUGAGCGCAGAAGCAAAUGCAUGUUUGUCUGUCCUUGGAGCCACGAGAUGAAGCCACGCCACCCCCCUAAGGACGAUGUAAUCAAUCUCGGCCGUCAUUCGCCCUUUCCUCUUCUGGAAUGGGUCAAAGUCCCAAAAAAAGUGUUUUUUUUUUAAUUUUUGAAGGAAGAAUUCGAAAUUGAUCCGAAUCCGAAUCGGCCCUACCUUUCAAAAAUCGUGCCUAAUUCUCCAGCUAUAAAUAUUCUCUUUCUCCUUCAAUGUUGGGAGGGAAAUCUUUUUUAGAAAAUCUGUGGAGAGAGUUUGAUAUUGAAAAUUUAUUUUAGAGCAAAACAUUUAGACGACAUAAGAAAAAUCUAGCUAAAGAUAUAGUGAGAGAGAGCUUGCAUUAAGGUGGGAGCAAGUUUUCUGUUGGAGAUUUUUUUUUUACGAAGAACUGGUGAAAAAAGGAUAGAGAUUUUUGGUUGGCUUUUCUUUUUGGUUGGAGAAAGAUAUGAGAAGAAACUAGCAAAAAAUACAAAAAGGGAAAAUUGAAGUUCACAAGUAUAGACAAUGAAAAAUCAAAGUAGAAUUUAGAACUAUAGUGUUAUGCUUGCGAGUAAACUGUUCUCGUCGUAGAUUUGUCAUUGGUGGUGGAAUAGUUCACUUCUAAGCUCGUCGUUGUCCAGUUUGUUGUCGUUUAAAAGUUCGAUCGAAGUCUCAUUUGGCUUUGCAUUUCGAAAUGGGCCAUAAAGGCCCCAAAUCCCCUGUUUCCCUCGAAUUCAGCUAAUCAUAGAAGUCGAAGAGCAGGUCCUAUGGAGUUGACGCACAUGUGUCGGAGUUGAAAAAUGCAUACAUGGAGGAGAGUUUUGAAAUGAUUGGCCAAAGACCUGCUCUUAGUUCCAAGAAAUUGUAUUUUGUUUAGUUGGUCCUAAGCCCCUUAUUAUUUUGUAUUAUUAUCUUGUUAGUUUAGGACAUAUACAAUUGAAGUGGGUCAAACGCUCAAAACAAAAUGGGUCCAAAUACCGGUCUAGGCGGAUAGAAAUCGAAUUUGGACCCAACUCUCUCUCUCUUUUUCUUUUACUUUAUCGCGUUUAUUUACUUGUUAUUAAUUGCCGUUAGUUUUAGGGUUAAAAAAUUCAAAUCCCCACAAGACUUUGUAAUGUUUUAACUAUUCAAACUAA